UACGUAGGGAGCAAGCGUUGUCCGGAAUCAUUGGGCGUAAAGAGCGCGCAGGCGGUCUAUCAAGUCAGAUGUGAAAUAUCCGGGCUUAACCCGGAGGGGUCAUUUGAAACUGGUAGACUAGAGUACAGCAGAGGAUAGCGGAAUUCCCGGUGUAGUGGUGAAAUGCGUAGAUAUCGGGAGGAACACCAGUGGCGAAGGCGGCUAUCUGGGCUGAAACUGACGCUGAGGCGCGAAGGCUAGGGGAGCAAACAGG
This 253-nucleotide ribosomal RNA is filed under the name uncultured bacterium. RNAcentral's name for it is "partial 16S ribosomal RNA". It matches the Rfam family "Bacterial small subunit ribosomal RNA", at positions 524 to 776 of the family's 1533-position model. The record is from RNAcentral.